CCUGACAUAAAAUGACAUAGUACUGUAUUUGUAUUAAUAUAUAAUCUACACAAUCCUCCCAUAUACUUUCAAUCAUCUGUAGAUUUCUUAUAUUACUUCAUAAAAUGUAUUAACAAAUACUAUGUAAAUAGUUGUUAUAUUGUUUAGGGAAUAAUGACAAGAAGAAAAAGUCUGAAAAAAAAAAAGAAAAGGUCUGUACACAUUAAGUACACUCAACCAUCAUAGGCCUCACCACACUUUCCAUCCGAGGUUGGUUGAAAUCAUGGAUGCAGAACCUAUCGAUUCAGAGGCCCAGGACUGUACUUCCAACAGCUUUUAACACCACGAGACAGCUUCCUAGGUACUGAGAAUGAAGAAAUGAACAAGAUGCGACUCCUACCUUAAGCAGCUCACUGUCUAGUCGGGGAGCCAGGUAUGUGAAAAGUUAUCAAAGUACCUUAUAAGUGCUGUAAUGUAAGUACAUAGUUACAA
This 471-nucleotide long non-coding RNA is filed under the name Homo sapiens (human). RNAcentral's name for it is "HSALNT0059625". Lineage: Eukaryota; Metazoa; Chordata; Mammalia; Primates; Hominidae. The record is from RNAcentral.